RNAcentral lists this ribosomal RNA (482 nucleotides) under uncultured bacterium. RNAcentral's name for it is "partial 16S ribosomal RNA". It matches the Rfam family "Bacterial small subunit ribosomal RNA", at positions 30 to 507 of the family's 1533-position model. The record is from RNAcentral.
AUUGAACGCUGGCGGCAGGCCUAACACAUGCAAGUCGAGCGGAUGAAGGGAGCUUGCUCCUGGAUUCAGCGGCGGACGGGUGAGUAAUGCCUAGGAAUCUGCCUGGUAGUGGGGGAUAACGUCCGGAAACGGGCGCUAAUACCGCAUACGUCCUGAGGAGAAAGUGGGGGAUCUUCGGACCUCACGCUAUCAGAUGAGCCUAGGUCGGAUUAGCUAGUUGGUGGGGUAAAGGCCUACCAAGGCGACGAUCCGUAACUGGUCUGAGAGGAUGAUCAGUCACACUGGAACUGAGACACGGUCCAGAUUCCUAGGGGAGGCAGCAGUGGGAAAUAUUGGACAAGGGCGAAAGCCUGAUCCAGCCAUGCCGCGUGUGUGAAGAAGGUCUUCGGAUUGUAAAGCACUUUAAGUUGGGAGGAAGGGCAGUAAGUUAAUACCUUGCUGUUUUGACGUUACCAACAGAAUAAGCACCGGCUAACUUCGUG